GGUGGCAGGGCCACAACCAGCGCAGACAGGCAUGCCCCGGGCAUCUCUGGGCAAGUAUCUCUUUGAGUGCCUCCCUCUCAAGCAUGACUAGGAGGCCUCUGUGCCUUCC
Molecule: microRNA precursor, 109 nt
Filed under: Rattus norvegicus (Norway rat)
Lineage: Eukaryota; Metazoa; Chordata; Mammalia; Rodentia; Muridae
Description: mir-692 microRNA precursor family
Rfam family: mir-692 microRNA precursor family
Source: Rfam by way of RNAcentral